This 235-nucleotide ribosomal RNA is filed under the name uncultured bacterium. Its description in RNAcentral is "partial 16S ribosomal RNA". It matches the Rfam family "Bacterial small subunit ribosomal RNA", at positions 118 to 347 of the family's 1533-position model. The record is from RNAcentral.
UGAGCAAUCUGCCCUUCUCUUCGGAAUAAGCGUUGGAAGCGACGUCUAAUGCCGAAUACGACCUCCUUUCGCAUGAUCGGAGGUGGAAAGUUCCGGCGGAGAAUGAUGAGCUCGCGGCCUAUCAGCUAGUUGGUGUGGGUAAUGGCCCACCAAGGCGACGACGGGUAGCCGGCCUGAGAGGGUGACCGGCCACACGUGGGACUGAGACACGGCCCAGACCUCCGUACGGGAGCAG